GGUCCUGUGGCCCAAUGGAUAAGUCGCCUGACUACGAAUCAGGAGAUUCUAGGUUCGAGUCCUGGCAGGAUCG
Ciona savignyi (Pacific transparent sea squirt) is the source of this 73-nucleotide non-coding RNA. The record is from Rfam. Lineage: Eukaryota; Metazoa; Chordata; Ascidiacea; Phlebobranchia; Cionidae.